GCCACACUUCCGGCCUUUGUGGGCCGCAGCGACGGCGGUCUGCGGCUGUCGGUUCUGUUUGUGGCUGUCACUGCUGUUUGUUCCUGCCAGCGGCUAGGGUCUGGCUGUUUUGCCCAGAAUGGAGUGCAGUGGCGUGAUGGUCUCGGCUGACAGCAGCCUCGACCUCCUGGGCUCAAGCCUUGGCCUCCCAAAGUGCUGGGAUUACAGCCACCAUCCUGUGAGGAAACCCAGAGCACAUGAAGAGACCACCUGCACAUGUUCAGAUCCACUGCCCCAGCUAAGAUCUCCGCUGACAGCCAGACCAAUCACCAAUCUUAGGAGCUGGCGAGCCUUCAGAUGGUCCAACCUUUGAGGCCCCCCAGAGGAGCCAGGUGGAGCAUAGAUGAGCCAUCCAUGUGGAUCCCUUCACCAAAUGGAAGAUUUAGGAGCAAAAUAAACAAUGUUGUCAUUGCUUUCACCCACGAAA
Molecule: long non-coding RNA, 466 nt
Organism: Gorilla gorilla gorilla (western lowland gorilla)
Lineage: Eukaryota; Metazoa; Chordata; Mammalia; Primates; Hominidae
Exons: 3
Source: RefSeq, a predicted model, not a curated record